GGUGACCUACGGGGCGCAGCAGUGAGGAAUAUUGGUCAAUGGGCGCGAGCCUGAACCAGCCAAGUCGCGUGAGGGAGGACGGCCCUACGGGUUGUAAAGCUCUGUUGCGGGGGAAAAAAGGCAGCAUCAGGAAAUGGGUGCUGACUGAUGGUGCCCCGCCAGAAAGUCACGGCUAACUACGUGCCAGCAGCCGCGGUAAUACGUAGGUGGCGAGCGUUAUCCGGAAUGAUUGGGCGUAAAGGGUGCGCAGGCGGUCCUGCAAGUCUGGAGUGAAACGCAUGAGCUCAACUCAUGCAUGGCUUUGG
This 305-nucleotide ribosomal RNA is filed under the name uncultured bacterium. RNAcentral describes it as "bacterial SSU rRNA". It matches the Rfam family "Bacterial small subunit ribosomal RNA", at positions 333 to 629 of the family's 1533-position model. The record is from RNAcentral.